UUAUUGGAGAGUUUGAUCCUGGCUCAGGACGAACGCUGGCGGCAUGCCUAAUACAUGCAAGUCGAGCGGAGUUGA
Molecule: ribosomal RNA, 75 nt
Filed under: Paenibacillus pabuli
Lineage: Bacteria; Bacillati; Bacillota; Bacilli; Caryophanales; Paenibacillaceae
Also listed under: 4 other names
Description: partial 16S ribosomal RNA
Rfam family: Bacterial small subunit ribosomal RNA
Source: RNAcentral